CACGCCGUAAACGUUGGGCGCUAGGUGUGGGACUCAUUCCACGAGUUCCGUGCCGCAGCUAACGCAUUAAGCGCCCCGCCUGGGGAGUACGGCCGCAAGGCUAAAACUCAAAGGAAUUGACGGGGGCCCGCACAAACGGCGGAGCAUGUGGAUUAAUUCGAUGCAACGCGAAGAACCUUACCAAGGCUUGACAUAUACCGGAAACAUCCAGAGAUGGGUGCCCCGCAAGGUCGGUAUACAGGUGG
RNAcentral lists this ribosomal RNA (245 nucleotides) under uncultured Intrasporangiaceae bacterium. RNAcentral's name for it is "partial 16S ribosomal RNA". It matches the Rfam family "Bacterial small subunit ribosomal RNA", at positions 796 to 1041 of the family's 1533-position model. The record is from RNAcentral. Lineage: Bacteria; Bacillati; Actinomycetota; Actinomycetes; Micrococcales; Intrasporangiaceae.